AGAGUGGCGAACGGGUGAGUAACACGUGGGUAACCUACCUCUUAGCAGGGGAUAACAUUUGGAAACAAGUGCUAAUACCGUAUAAUACCAACAACCGCAUGGUUGUUGGUUGAAAGAUGGUUCUGCUAUCACUAAGAGAUGGACCCGCGGUGCAUUAGCUAGUUGGUAAGGUAACGGCUUACCAAGGCAAUGAUGCAUAGCCGAGUUGAGAGACUGAUCGGCCACAAUGGGACUGAGACACGGCCCAUACUCCUACGGGAGGCAGCAGUAGGGAAUCUUCCACAAUGGGCGCAAGCCUGAUGGAGCAACGCCGCGUGUGUGAUGAAGGGUUUCGGCUCGUAAAACACUGUUAUAAGAGAAGAACGGCACUGAGAGUAACUGUUCAGUGUGUGACGGUAUCUUACCAGAAAGGAACGGCUAAAUACGUGCCAGCAGCCGCGGUAAUACGUAUGUUCCAAGCGUUAUCCGGAUUUAUUGGGCGUAAAGCGAGCGCAGACGGUUAUUUAAGUCUGAAGUGAAAGCCCUCAGCUCAACUGAGGAAUGGCUUUGGAAACUGGAUGACUUGAGUGCAGUAGAGGAAAGUGGAACUCCAUGUGUAGCGGUGAAAUGCGUAGAUAUAUGGAAGAACACCAGUGGCGAAGGCGGCUU
Molecule: ribosomal RNA, 648 nt
Filed under: Weissella paramesenteroides
Lineage: Bacteria; Bacillati; Bacillota; Bacilli; Lactobacillales; Lactobacillaceae
Description: bacterial SSU rRNA
Rfam family: Bacterial small subunit ribosomal RNA
Source: RNAcentral